RNAcentral lists this long non-coding RNA (700 nucleotides) under Vulpes vulpes (red fox). Its description in RNAcentral is "lncRNA (ENSVVUG00000004783.1)". The record is from RNAcentral. Lineage: Eukaryota; Metazoa; Chordata; Mammalia; Carnivora; Canidae.
GGGUGGGCGGGAGGGGCUGGGGUGCACCCGCCCACGGGGUCCAAGAGGAGCCUAGAGCCCAAGGGCCUGCAGGCUUCUGCUGGGUGGAAGCUGCUGCAGGCCACAGGGACCUCGGAUCUAAGCUUAGAGUCUUAAAAAAGGAAGUGGGGAGAAAGGGAAGGAAGGUUAUCCACGCCAAAUGACCCAAAGCUCUGCAAAGCUCUGCACUUACGGCCCGCCAGCGCCCGCGCUGUCCCAUUUUACAGAUGGUGUCUCCUUCGCUUGGUCAGAGAUGCCAAGAAACUGGAGUAGCAGCUACAACUUUAUCUGGCACAGUCUGGCAAAUCCAUCAACACUAAAAUUCCAACAGGUAUACGUUUUACUUAAAAAAAAAAAAAAUCGUUCUGGUUUGUCAAUUUCACCGAUCACAGUGGUGGUUCAUCUUGCUUUUUGGCUUUUCCACCACCAUCAUUUCCGUUUUUCACUAAGAUCAUUAAAAUAUUCCUCUGAGCCCCUCCCCAAACCCCUUCUUUCCAGAAAGAGAUCUACUUAUAUGUGAACAGUCUUUGGGUCCCCCAGGCAGUUCAUCCCCCUGGGGGCCUGGGCAAGAGCAUUUCCCAAGGGAGGUGACUCAGAGAUAUCUGAGCCCCUGGCCCUGUCCUGCACUCACACUGCAUAAAGGCCUAUAGCUGUUGCAGUUGCAAUUUUCUCUCUAAACCCC